CCCAUCUAUAGUAGCCCUUCCCACCCUUCUUACUUCAUAGCCCUUCUUAUUUUUUUUAAAUAAGCUAUAUUUUCUAGAACAAUUGUAGAUUUACAGUGAAAUCCCAAAGAUCUUACAGGAAGUCCCCACACCCUCCCACCUCUGCACCCAAUAUCCCCUAUUACUAACAUCUUAUGUUAGUGUGGAACAUUUGUCAUGACAAAUGAGCCAAUAUGGACACAUUAUAUGAAUGAAACCAUACCUUAUUCAGAUUUCUUUAGUUUUAGCCCAGUGUCCCAUCCAGGAUCCAAUCUAGGGUACCAGAGUACAUACAUUUAGUUCUCCUCUUGGCUGUGAUAAUGUUCUUCUCCCUUCCCCCUUUGAAAAGAUUUUAUUUAUUCAUUUUGAGAGAGGGAAUGUGGGGAGGGGCAGGGGGAGAGGGAGAGAGAACAUCUUAACCAUUCACUGCCUUGCUGAGCAUGGAGCCUGAUGCACGGCUCAGUCUUACAACCCCUGAGAUCAUGAUCUGAGCAAAAUCAAGUCGGUUCCUUAACAAACUGAGCUACCCAGGUGCCCCUGUCAUAAUGUUCUUGGUGACCUCAACAAUUCUGAGGAGUACAGGUCAGGUAUUAUAUAGAAUGUUUCUCAGCUGAAAUUUGUCUGAUGUUUUUCUCAUGGUUGUACUUGGUUAUAUGUUUUGGGGAGAAAGACUGUAGAGUUAUGUGUUUUGAGCACCGUUGCUGGGCUAACCCACAGCCAUUCUCAGCCUCCUUCUUACCUGCUGUUUGCAAGCAAAAGCAAGAAUGCCAGAUGCCUGUUUUCUCCAGUCACCAUCCUGUCAAUGAAACAGAAGGAAGUCCGUCUUCUCAUGUGUUUUGGAGGAGGCUUUUGCUUUCCUCACAAAAAAGUUCAAUUUGCCAACACAUAGUAUAACACCCAGUGCUCAUCCCAUCGAGCGCCCUCUGCUACUUCACUGAAUCGGUCUUCGCUUGGGCCCUGCGCACUUGGCACUGUUAUUAUCUCCCACUUUACUCUGGAUGAGGAACAGGAG
Long non-coding RNA from Canis lupus familiaris (dog), 1030 nucleotides. RefSeq lists it as uncharacterized. The record is from RefSeq and is a predicted model, not a curated record. The transcript is spliced from 3 exons. NCBI's taxonomy places the organism in Eukaryota, Metazoa, Chordata, Mammalia, Carnivora, Canidae.